AUGACUGGAUGAUUGAGUUGGCUGCUGAGUGUGUGACUGGAUUGUUGGUCUUGUGGUUGAAAACAUGGAGUAGGUACCAUAAAAAAUACUGAUUCUUGGUUUUCAUUUGUCUGAGUGUAGUCUUGCACUUUCUUUGACUGCUAUUACAAUCAAAUAUAUAUGUUAUCAUGUGAGUAAAAAAACUGAUUAAUGGAGAACCGAUUAAUCAAAUACCUAAUUGGCUAAUGAACAACUUCUUUUAUGAUGAUUUGGCUGGCCACAAAAAACUGCAUGUCAUCUGAAGACCCUUCCUAGAUGUUGACCAUUGUCCUUGCCUUUUCCUAGCUUCAUCCUUCUCUCUUGACCUUU
RNAcentral lists this long non-coding RNA (348 nucleotides) under Nicotiana benthamiana. Its description in RNAcentral is "long non-coding RNA (NBEN_LNC034393)". The record is from RNAcentral. Lineage: Eukaryota; Viridiplantae; Streptophyta; Magnoliopsida; Solanales; Solanaceae.